GGCAGCCCGUCGCUUGGAGUCACGGCCGCGGCGUGGAUCGGUUGACCUCUAAAGCCUCAUGGUGCACGAAGAAGCCCAGAAGCGGAGGAGGAGUCAAGAAAAGCCAUCAGGGAUGGCUCUCUCUCAGGCUGAAAUGCGGUGGCACACUUACGGCGUACCAUAGCUUGACAUGCUGGGCUCAGAAGAUCCUUCUGCGUCAGCCUUCUAAGUAGCCGAA
Long non-coding RNA from Carlito syrichta (Philippine tarsier), 217 nucleotides. RefSeq lists it as uncharacterized. The record is from RefSeq and is a predicted model, not a curated record. NCBI's taxonomy places the organism in Eukaryota, Metazoa, Chordata, Mammalia, Primates, Tarsiidae. The transcript has 3 exons.